GGCAGUUCUCGGGUGACACCCCAGAAUUGGAAUCCCUCCUCUCUGGUCCGGGGUGUGUCAUCUGAGAACCGCA
Non-coding RNA from Myotis davidii, 73 nucleotides. The record is from Rfam. Lineage: Eukaryota; Metazoa; Chordata; Mammalia; Chiroptera; Vespertilionidae.